RNAcentral lists this ribosomal RNA (330 nucleotides) under uncultured bacterium. RNAcentral describes it as "bacterial SSU rRNA". It matches the Rfam family "Bacterial small subunit ribosomal RNA", at positions 28 to 334 of the family's 1533-position model. The record is from RNAcentral.
GACGAACGCUGGCGGCGUGCCUAAUACAUGCAAGUCGAACGGAGAUACGCGCUGAAGAUUUAGCUUGCUAUUGAUUCUUGUGUAUCUUAGUGGCGGACGGGUGAGUAACGCGUGAGCAACCUGCCUUUCAGAGGGGGAUAACGUUUGGAAACGAACGCUAAUACCGCAUGACAUUAUUUUGCCGCAUGGUGAGAUAAUCAAAGGAGCAAUCCGCUGAAAGAUGGGCUCGCGUCCGAUUAGGUAGUUGGCGGGGCAACGGCCCACCAAGCCGACGAUCGGUAGCCGGACUGAGAGGUUGGACGGCCACAUUGGGACUGAGACACGGCCCAG